Molecule: ribosomal RNA, 445 nt
Filed under: Capnocytophaga gingivalis
Lineage: Bacteria; Pseudomonadati; Bacteroidota; Flavobacteriia; Flavobacteriales; Flavobacteriaceae
Description: bacterial SSU rRNA
Rfam family: Bacterial small subunit ribosomal RNA
Source: RNAcentral
GAUGAACGCUAGCGGCAGGCCUAACACAUGCAAGUCGAGGGAGAAGCCCUUUCGGGGGCAGAAACCGGCGCACGGGUGCGUAACGCGUAUGCAACCUACCUUUCACAGGGGGAUAGCCCGAAGAAAUUUGGAUUAAUACCCCAUAAUAUUAUUGGAUGGCAUCAUUUGAUAAUUAAAACUGCGGUGGUGAAAGAUGGGCAUGCGUCCUACUAGCUAGUUGGAGUGGUAACGGCACCCCAAGGCUACGAUAGGUAGGGGUCCUGAGAGGGAGAUCCCCCACACUGGUACUGAGACAGGGACCAGACUCCUACGGGAGGCAGCAGUGAGGAAUAUUGGUCAAUGGUCGGAAGACUGAACCAGCCAUGCCGCGUGCAGGAAGAAUGCCUUAUGGGUUGUAAACUGCUUUUAUAUGGGAAGAAUAAGGUGUAGCGUGUACAUUGAUGAC